Molecule: ribosomal RNA, 234 nt
Filed under: uncultured bacterium
Lineage: Bacteria
Description: partial 16S ribosomal RNA
Rfam family: Bacterial small subunit ribosomal RNA
Source: RNAcentral
UACGGGGGGGGCAAGCGUUGUUCGGAAUUACUGGGCGUAAAGGGCUUGUAGGUGGCCAACUAAGUCAGACGUGAAAUCCCUCAGCUUAACUGGGGAACUGCGUCUGAUACUGGAUGGCUUGAGUUUGGGAGAGGGAUGCGGAAUUCCAGGUGUAGCGGUGAAAUGCGUAGAUAUCUGGAGGAACACCGGUGGCGAAGGCGGCAUCCUGGACCAACACUGACACUGAGGAGCGAA